GUAGGUGGCAAGCGUUGUCCGGAAUUAUUGGGCGUAAAGCGCGCGCAGGCGGUUCUUCAAGUCUGAUGUGAAAGCCCACGGCUCAACCGUGGAGGGUCAUUGGAAACUGGAGAACUUGAGUACAGAAGAGGAAAGCGGAAUUCCACGUGUAGCGGUGAAAUGCGUAGAGAUGUGGAGGAACACCAGUGGCGAAGGCGGCUUUCUGGUCUGUAACUGACGCUGAGGCGCGAAAGCGUGGGGGAGCAAACAGGAUUAGAUACCCUGGUAGUCCACGCCGUAAACGAUGAGUGCUAAGUGUUAGGGGGUUUUCCGCCCCGUUAGUGCUGCAGCUAACGCAUUAAGCACUCCGCCUGGGAGUACGGCCGCAAGGCUG
This 373-nucleotide ribosomal RNA is filed under the name uncultured organism. RNAcentral describes it as "partial 16S ribosomal RNA". It matches the Rfam family "Bacterial small subunit ribosomal RNA", at positions 527 to 896 of the family's 1533-position model. The record is from RNAcentral.